UGUUUUAGAAGGCUAAUAGGUUGUAAAGCUCUUUCAUUAAGGAAGAAAAAGACAGUACUUAAAAAGAAGUUUCGGCUAAUUUCGUGCCAGCAGCCGCGGUAAUACGAGAGGAGC
Molecule: non-coding RNA, 114 nt
Filed under: Aphanomyces astaci
Lineage: Eukaryota; Oomycota; Saprolegniomycetes; Saprolegniales; Verrucalvaceae
Description: Bacterial small subunit ribosomal RNA
Rfam family: Bacterial small subunit ribosomal RNA
Source: Rfam by way of RNAcentral